Molecule: ribosomal RNA, 494 nt
Filed under: uncultured bacterium
Lineage: Bacteria
Description: partial 16S ribosomal RNA
Rfam family: Bacterial small subunit ribosomal RNA
Source: RNAcentral
ACGAACGCUGGCGGCGUGCCUAAUACAUGCAAGUAGAACGCUGAAGGAGGAGCUUGCUUCUCUGGAUGAGUUGCGAACGGGUGAGUAACGCGUAGGUAACCUGCCUGGUAGCGGGGGAUAACUAUUGGAAACGAUAGCUAAUACCGCAUAACAGUAGAUAUCGCAUGAUAUCUACUUGAAAGGUGCAAUUGCAUCACUACCAGAUGGACCUGCGUUGUAUUAGCUAGUUGGUGAGGUAACGGCUCACCAAGGCGACGAUACAUAGCCGACCUGAGAGGGUGAUCGGCCACACUGGGACUGAGACACGGCCCAGACUCCUACGGGAGGCAGCAGUAGGGAAUCUUCGGCAAUGGACGGAAGUCUGACCGAGCAACGCCGCGUGAGUGAAGAAGGUUUUCGGAUCGUAAAGCUCUGUUGUAAGAGAAGAACGAGUGUGAGAGUGGAAAGUUCACACUGUGACGGUAGCUUACCAGAAAGGGACGGCUAACUACGUG